CAGCAGAAAAUCGAGCUGCAAACCGUGUCUCCAGUGUACAGCUGCGGGAAAGAGAGAAGAAGCACUGUGCAUGAUGGAAUUAUGUGACACCAUAUCUCUCAGGUCCAACCUUCUUUUCAGUUUGUUGGAUUCUCAGAAAACAAAAAAGAAAAAAACACCUGCGCUCCCCUCCACCUGCCUGAAUCCUUAACGGAUUACUGCUCGAUUCACUUGGUUAACUCCUCACACUGGGGUUUUUUUAUAUUCAUGUAACACAUCUUCUGAAGGAAGCCUCACUUACACAGGCCUCGUCGUUCCUCCUCUGUAGCUGCUGCCUUUCAAGUGACACCAAGCUGAUGAAAGUGGAUGAAAGAAAGGGAGGCGGAGAGGCGGAGGAGGAGAAAGCCGGAGCGGAGAGAAAGUAUUGCAGAAUGAAAGAGAACUUGUCUCCCCAGAAGGGGGUUUCCCUCACGGCUGGCGUGUGAAGAGAAUGUCCCGAAGUGAUUUAUGGGAAAUUUACACAUUCAAGUGCGGGUGUGAAAAUGCCCCUCGGCCCACAUGAAAGAUAAGGCUUUAAUAUCUGACUAAUACAACACCGUAAUGAGAUCCUAUUCUUGCCUUUGCCUUUCUGUCUGUUUAUUAGAGAAGUGAUGAAAGAAGCUGACAGUGCGAGAGUGUGGGCUCAUAUUUAUCCAAGCAGUAGCUUGAAAAUUGCUUCCAUGCAAAUGCAUUUGUCGGGUGGAGCGUAGGCCUAAUGCCUCUAGGUACGCUCUCCCGCAAAAAAACAGCGAAGAAGAUGCAGAACGUAUGCCAUCCAGUUACUUGUUGGAAUACAUCAAAGCUCUGCAGUUUUACUCUUUACAAAUGAACGUUUCAACGCUAGCAUUUUGAUAAAGAACUAAGGUUCUUUUUCAGGUCGUGAUGGAUUUCACACUUGGGAGUGGUCCAGAGAACCAGUACCUCAUCCUCUUGUAGUAACUAGUAGUCUGGGGCUCACUUCACCCAGCCUGAGGUUCGGUCCCUCUCAGGUGGCAUCGAUACCUGCCAGGUUCGGGAGACAGGUAGGCAAUGCCUCAGUUUACCUUUGCCUGCUUCUGCGGCCUCCAUGGCCUGUGCCGGCGGAGAAAGAAGAAAAAGAAGAAACAAGAGGAACAGCAGCAGGACUACGAGACCGUGGUUUGACGAUUUGGGACUGAAAAUACACUUGGGUCUAUGCCAAAAAAAGUCUUUGUAAGCCCUCAGCAAACCUCAGGGCUGAUAUUAAGGGACUACUUUCCUAAGUUUCUUCAGGAGUUGUACUCAGUGAAAGAAAGUGAGACAAAGGCGAAGCACUCUUACAUUUUAGAUCACGUCCAUGAAUUAUGAGUGGGUGUUUCUGUUUCAGUGUGAUUCCACAGACUUGAUUGAUUACUGCAAAUCAUAUAUUCAGCAUAUCUUCAGUUACUCUGACACCGCAAAGAACUUCAAACAAAAAUUAGCUAUUCUAAUUGAAAAAAAAGAACAGAAGACGUUGUGUCGCCCCAAACCCCCCCUCCCCCGCCUCCAUAUUAAAGACAAGUUCAGGGUUUCAGAUAUUCAGGAACCAUGAAAACAUCCCACUAACAAUCAGAUCCAUUCUAAGUGAAUAUAUGAGUUUGGAAUUUGAUUAUAGUAUUUUUAGACAGCUUGAUUGAUAGUCUUUUCUAUUUAUUGCUUGAAAAUGAGUGCUUCAGCAGAGUCUGGCAGCCAUAGAGGUGCUCCACAGCACCUGGAUCUGGUGCCUUUAUUCUCCACCAGUUUGCCUGUUAAUUGCCUUCCCAGUAAUUAUGAACCCCUAGGAAGAUCCAAGUGGCCUCUUCGCAAAUGCCACCACAGUAAAGGAUGGGUACCAUCUGUCAUUUCUCGGGAACAUUUUAAGUCUGGCCCUUGGCAAGCGUCAACUGACUCCUCUUGAUUAUUGUGUGGAUUCUGGAAAAGGAUGUGGAAUGAAUUUAAAUGAAACCUGUGGGUGGUGGGAUUUUGUGUCAUUUUGAAGGGUGUGUCUGUGAAAUGGUUAGGAAACUACAUCAAACCACAUAAUCAGGCAGGGUAAAGCUUAUUCAUGUCACACUCUGAAUUAGACCUUUCCAAUCAUGCUGUCCCAAAGCAGUCUGGCAGACUAGUGAUAGAGCGUAGCGUGGACAUUUCCCAAUAAGACAAGAUUCAGGAGCCAGGUGUCCUCUCUCAAAGGACAUUAGGCAGGAAUGAGGAGUGACGAAUGUGCAAGUUAUUUCUAGACCUGUCUUCUCUGACCUAGACGGAGUUUCUUAGGUCCACGGUUUCUUUCUAAGGUUAAUGUGAUUAAGCCUUAAAUAGCAGCACAGACUGUGUCCAAAGGUCACAAUAUACAGAAGGUCACAAACACGCAAAAGUCGGCUCAUCACCUGGCUAACAAAAAUGCGUCCUUUCCCCCUUUGCUACACAAAGUUAUACAAUUAUGGCUAUUUUUAGAACAUUUAUGCAUGAAUAACCCCCAUCAGCCCUAUCAGCUCUACAUUAAUAUAUUCAAUUAAAAUUGGGGGUUGGGAGGGUGGGGGGUUGAAGCUCACCAUGGCAACUGGUCUGACCAAAACUCUGGCCUUUGGAUGCAGGGUUUGAAUGGCUUUGAAAAUAGCAGUAAUUGUGGUGGUAAAUGGCAGCCCUCAUUAAGGAAGGUGAUUAUGCAGUCCACGCAUGCGAGGAUGGGGCGAUGCAAUUAAUCUCGCUCAACAGGAAGCGCGCCAGGAUGACGGAUGCUCCUAAAUCUGAUGUCGCGGAAACAAAAGGGGAAGAAAAAGUCAGGGACUUAAACUUUGGAUAAUGUCCUUUUUGCAUAUUCAGAUUUAGAGGGCUUUCCAGAACCAGUUAAUAUGAGCCAAUGUUAUCCAAUGCGUAUCCUUUCAUCUACUUAUCCCAAGCCAUUCGGACCAUUCAGAUUUCACCUGCAAGUCAUGGUAAAGCCCUAAGCGUUUGAUCCUUGUAUUCAUUUGAACAAGUAUUCAAAAUGAGAGGCGGUUAAAUCGAUUCGAGUGAGUGUUUGUGAGACAAUUCAUCAGACCAAGUUAUCAUGUUACAGGAGCAAGCUUCUGUGGAAGUAAGGGGGGCCAAAUUUAAUGAGCAUGAGAUUGAAACGGCUGCUAAUUACCUGCAGCCGCACUAAUUCAUUGUGUCUGUCUUGCUGGCUCAGAGACUGCACUCUUUAUAGGUGGGUGGCAAUAAAUGAGUGCAUUGCAUCAGAUCGGCACUAUUUUUGCAUGUUUGCUCUGUUAAGCGAUGACAGGAGGCAAGAUUUAAUUACAGUUUUAACUUGCACCACCAAACACACUCAUUUUUCAGCACUGACGUCGGAUACGGUGUUUAGUGUUUCGUAGAAAGCGUAGUGUGCACAGGGGUUUCUACAUUGCAGCCUCGAAAACAAAUAGGUGCAUUAUGCCUUCCCAUUUUCUUUAAACCCAAACUGCCAUUAAACCCGAAUCUCCCAUCUGUCAGCACCCACUGAAAAGUGGCGGCGGCACAAAUGAUCCUUGUCGUGCACGGGUAGACAUUUAUUGCAUUCGGGCUUCAUUUUUCAGCUACAGCACAAAGAACCUGAGCGCGAGAGACAGGGAAGAGGGUGCUGACAUGCGUUCGUCCUGUUCCUUCUCCACCACGCUGACAGCCGACCUGUCUCCGUGCCUUAAUGAAGAUUAAAGCAGGUUUCCUCUUCUUAAGCUCCUGUAAUUAUCCGAUCGUCCAAUAGACAGGCGGGUAGGGCCUCUGCCGAUGGCAGCCUUAGAGAGAGGAAAGUUGAGAGGAGGACGCAAGAAGAUCAUGUAAUUGCGAUGGUAAUGGAUUUUGUCGGGAGCACCUGUCAUGGCCAUGGAGAAAACAGCCAAGGAAGGGAAUUGGAGUCAGGAUGCCAGCGAGCUGAGCCUCUGUCUGAGCCAAGCUCACCUGAUUGCCAAUUUAGGGGAGUCUUCAUGCAUCAAGCAUUGAGAGCAGGGGCGUUAAGGGGCCUAGGUGGCGAUUCACUGGGCAAACCAUUAAAGAAGGUGUCAGUGCGAAUAAGCGACCAGACGGGCAAGAGUGAAAGCUAAAACCAAACGACGUUUAAUUUCCAAUUGAGAGCAGGGGAAGAUGAAAAAGAAACGCACCACUGAAUUUCUCCAGCUAAUGUGAGGUUCCUGGUCAGACAUGCUCUGCUGAGCACAUGAAGUUGAUGCAAGUAGAGCUGGCAGCCUCACUUCGGUGAAUGAGGCCAGUUAAGUUAAGAAAAGUACACGGUCAAAAGGCAAAAUGGACAGGGCAGUCUUCUGUUGCAUGUAAACGUGGUCAGGCUGCGGCAAAAUUAAAUGUGUCUCAGGAAGGGCUGUUUCCUGUUUCCUACCCUAGCAAAAUCAUUCUCAAGUCUCCCCCACCCUGAACCCCCACCAACCAUAGCAACAUCCUAUUUAACCCCCAACCAAAAUCUCUACCAGACUUUGUGAUAUUCUACUUAACUCCCGCACCCCAAAUUCCCACCAAACCUAGUGAUAUCCUACUUAACCCCAUCCCAAACCCCCAUCAACCCAAGCAACAUCUUACUUAACAACCCACCCCAAAUCUCCACUAACUCUAGUGACACCCAGUUGCCCCAUCCAAUCCAAAGCUGUGUCAACCCUAGCAACAUCCUACUCCCCUCACCCAUAACCUUAACCAAACCUAGUGACACCUUACUUAACCCCCCACCCCAAAUUACCACCAACCCUAGCAACAUCAUACUUGACCCUCCAUCCAUCCCCACCAUACCUCUCAAAAAGGCAGCCCCCAGAUAAACCCUAAACCAUGAUAACAAUCACGGAUAUAAUUUCUAUGGCCCCUGGUGGCUCAGGGGUCCUAAACAACUGCUUCUACCACUUAUAGUAAAACAACACAAUUUUCAUGCUCAUCUUUACAAAGCAUCAAAUUUCAUGCUGUUUGUGUAUGCACUGUUUGAGCUGCUCAUUUACCGAGACGCAAACGCUUGCCAAAACACAAACACCAAACAGGCAAUAGCUGAAAAAAUGAUUAUUACUUUUGUUACGGCAGCUGCGCCCAGCUUGCAGUGUUUGCCAGGUGCGCAAAAUCAAUUCCAAAUGUGUUGUUUUUUGAAAGUACUUAAGGUGGGAUUGAAGAAACUUGGUAGAAAUAUCCAACACGGAGGUGCGUAUUUGAGGCUGGCAGCCAAGGGCAGGUGCCUGUUUAUCAGCAGUAAACGUUAACAACUUUUCUGGCAUUGAAAACUCCAGGGGAAGUGUUCUCUGUUGUUGACACUGCACACUUCAUUGCUUCCAGAGACAUUAGCUUGAUCUGGUGUGUGGCUGUGUCAGGGUGACCAAAGCGAAUUGCCACUGGAACAAACUGCACUCUAAGUUUAUCACCAUUUUUCGUGUUGGCCUUUUCGAAAAGUUUAGACAGGAUGAGUAAGAUGAAUGAGUCAGACUCCAACCCGCACAUUUAAUCUUAAUCAGAUGUCUAUCUCGGAUUUUAUUGAUUAGAUAAAUGAACGAAUCAAUAGGCACUCUCUUCUUGAUGUGUUGUUGUUCUUGCUUCGAUACUAAUAAAUGGGUCCUUCAUAUAAUCAAGGAAUCUUGUUCAUGAGGAUGGCAAAGACGUUUCUGUCCAAUCAGACGCCUCUAGUCAAACUCUAGUGGUUAGCAUUUUAUCUCAAAACUGCAGCGGAUUCCCUUUAAACCAUUUAAAGUUCCUCUUUAAUUGGCUGUCUUGGACUUUUUCAUCCCAUGGUUAUUUUACUGAGGAAAAUGUCAUUUCAUCGUGUUGUCCUGAACAUUUUAAAUUUCCUUCAGAAAUAUGAGUUGUCCACCACAGAGAGAUGUAAUAAAUAUUGAUUUCACCCAAAGCGUGAAUUUUUCUACCGAACGUGAGGCAACUGUAGUUUUACCAGCUUAAUUAUACAUUGUUGAGCCAGGGAAGAAAACUCUCAUUAAUGUGUUUCCAUCCACAGACUCCCUCAGUAUCGCCUGCUGUCAGUUCCACUAGGUGCGAACAAUAGGGAAAACAUCAGCGUUAUAAUUUGCUCUUCUCUCAUUCUCUUAAUGGAGACCCGCUCUUUAGGAAAGGAGAUAUGCCCUAUUGAAGCGUUCCUCAUCACCGAUUAGCUUCUCAUAGCAGCCGAUUGUGUUUCUCAGACAUGCCUUGCAAAAUAAUUCCCUUCGUAGCCUUUUCAUUUUUCAAGAAAGCAGCGCUUGUGAAAGAGAGACGGCUUUUGUCUAAGACUUUCCAGGCUCGGAGUUAAUCGGGAAUCAAACGUUACGCCUUUGUUUCGUUUGACUUGGAUGCUCUGUCUCUUUUGGGAGGUUUGAUGAAGCCGCUUAGCUUUACCUUUCUCCCUCGUUUUCUUCCCCUCUCUCUCUCUCUCUCUCUCUCUCUCUCUCUCUGUCUUGCAUUAUCUCACUGUGCCCGAGUCAGCAGCCGUAGCGAGCUCGACACUGCUUGUAAGCGGCUUCUCUGUGUUCCAGGCAGUGAGUUUCAUUACUCAUUGUGCCGAAGCACAGAGGCGGCUCGUGCACACUCACCACUGAGGAGAGUGAGACUGUAGUACACAAUGUCCCAUCUUCCUUCUCUCUCCAAAAUAACACAGAACAAUGACGGUACAGGUGGGACAGGAUGUAAAUGCGGGUGAUUCCAUGAUUGCAGUACUUUUACAUUUAGCCUUUGUUUUUUUUUCUUUCUUUUUUUAGCAUUACAUGACAUCCAUUUAAAAAAAAAAUAGCAUAACACUGAAUCUAAGAAAACACGCAUUUAACCAUCUCACGUGACAAUCCCAUGUUUUACAACGGCUGUAUUUUGCUCUUAAAUGAUUAACAAAGUGGAGUUUGAGCCGUCGUUGUUGUUUUUUUUUUUAAUAGAAUAGUAUAGAAUUAUCAAAUACACAACAUGUGCUUAACUUGAAUCUGUCCAAUCACUGGAAAAAAAAGAAUGAACGUGCUUACUUUUCUUCUUCCUAUGGUCUUCAGGGAAUUUGAAUGAUGCAACGUCCUGUUGAACAUGUGACUUGUGGAAUGUUCCAAAUAUUUCGUAGGGGUGAAUGUGUUCAGGUAAGAUUUUUCAGAACGUAUAAUGGACGACUCGUGGUGAAGGAUGCGAAUAUCUAUCAUGUGAUAGAUGAAUUUACACAUUAAGCCAGAAAUACUAAGAGGUUUGAAGUAAUUUGUUUAUAUUUCAAGGUAAAAUGGAGUUAAGAGUGCUGUAGGUUUUGUAGGGUUUAUUCGAGUUUUUUAUCUGAAACAUGCGCAUAGGUUCUUUUUUUGUCUUUUUUUUUUUUUUUUUUUUUACAUUUACAUACAUAUUAAAGACAAUGAUAAAUGUAAUAUCAGUUGAACACAGAUGGCAACCCAAUCGUGGAACCACCCAAUGUGUAUCAGAGUGAUGAUUACGAACAUAAACAUGAGCGUCUAGCUGUUUUUUUUAUACAUUAUUGUGAUCAUAUUAUAAACCGUGACAGGGAUUUAACAUCGGCGUAGCUUCAUGGAGAGAAACUAAACCAUUUCCACUUCUUCUCCACCAAGCUUCCUGAUCUUCAGUCACUUAACGUUGAUGGCACUUGUGUUGAUUAAGGGUCGUGAGCUGUGCAUCCUCGACACAGUACCAGAUGCCUGGACUGGAGAGAUCUUAGUUUCUCCUAAUCAAGCUUAUGUGCCUGUCUUUUUUCUGCGUUUAAGCCUCUGUAGAAAUUACCACACGCUCCAGGCUCAAUCCUCGUGCCGGGGAAGACGUGAUAUCCGAGACGCGUGUGGUUCAUCACACCUCAAGGUUAUGGUGCUUCAAAAAAAAUUGUUUGUGCGUUCACAGAGGGGAAAAAUAUCAAAUAUGUGUGCCAAGCGGUUCUAACAAAGAAAAAGAAAGAAAGUGCAAGCAUCAGCCCGUGGCAUCUCAGCAUGCCAUGCCUUGCUUUUUAGAGGCUAGACUUAAAGCGCAAGCUUACACCGUGCGUGUGUGAUUUGUGCUUGGCUGUUUGAAAUACAGAACACGUCUGCAUCGGAUGGAUCCCCGCGGCCCAGGGAGCCUCAUUAGAAAGACUCGUGUGCCAGUCUUAAAGCCGGGAUAAGCUUAGCAGCCAGGAGCUAGUGAUAAAGGAGUUAUGUAUCGCCGCCUUACACGCGCAUGACAAAAAGCCCUCUUAUCCAGGUGCCACGCGGCCUAACCUUAUAUAUCACAUGCUGCGGAGGAUGACACACAGCCAGAAACUGUUUGCUUUCGGUCGAAUCUUCUAUACCGAGAGAAUUAAUAGGCCUACUGUACAAGAUGGAAAGUGUGCGCAUGAUUGAACGAAUAUGUAACUACAUUCGCAGAGUGGAAUAAUUAUUGUUUUUUUUAAAAUUACCCAGAUAUCAAUCCUAAUCCCAGUCCCUUUGUACAUAUACGUGACGCUAGCCUCUUAGAGAUGUUUGUCUUCUCAUCUCAAGUAUCUCAAUUAGUGGUCAGCAAAUAUUCCAUCAAAUCUGUCAAAAUAACGUGCUAGAGUGCAAAUAUUUUAUAUUUGCAGUGAAAUCAAGAUCCUAGAUUGGGGGGGGGGGGGGGGUUCUCUCAAAACCAUGCUAAUGUUUAUUAUUCAUAUACUUUGGGAGUAUUCCAAAUUCCCACACAUUUCACAUGCGAUUUUAGGUUUUUCAUGGGAUUAUAUCAAUCACAUGUGAAAACAAAUCACACAUGUCAGAAAAUCACACGUGGAAACAUGAAACCACAACACCCUAGAAGGUUAGAAUGUGAAAAUAAAUGAAUUGUGAAUCAAAGUAAACAACUUGCAUGUAAAAAGCAUAUGCAAAGGUAAACGAAUCACAUUAAUCAAAUAAAUGAAUUGUGAAUCAAAGUAAACAACUCACGUGUAAAAAUCACAUGCGAAGGUAAACAAAUCACAUGAAUCAAAUAAAUGAAUCGUGUGUAAGAAUCGCAUCUGGGGGAAAACGAAUCAUGAAUCGACAUAAAUGAAUCAUGUGUAAGAAUCGCAUCUGGGAAAAACGAAUUAUGAAUCGACAUAAAUGAAUCGUGUGUAAAAGUCACAUGUGAAAAACGUGUCAAUUUGAUGUGUGAAUCAUGUGACUCAUCACAUGUGAAUUUCAUGUGACUUUUCCUUAAGGGUUCUCUUCAUCUUUUUUUUUAGACAAAUAUUCCAACAACAUAAUAAGUUAGAGCUCAAAUAUUUUACAUUCGCAGUGUAAUCAAUGGUACUGUAAUUUUCUGUAUACUGGUGUACAUAUACUGUGACUGAUGACAUACACAACAAUAAUAACUAAGAAUGAAUUAAAUACACAAUAAUUAGCAGUCUAUAUUUGUAUUUUAUAACUUGCAGGUUUAGGAACGAUGUCCUAUAUAAUCUCUUUUGAAAAUGUGAGUGCAAUGAGUUGUGUGCCUUUUUUUUCCUUGUCCAAUAUAUUAGAAGCCAAUUAUUAAUAUGCAUAUUUGUCCCAAGAGAGCCAUAGACUCAAUAAGCCAUGAUCGAGCCAAAUGAGAUGCAAAUGUUUUCAUUAAUAAAACAUAUUACUGUGAUCGCUGCUUGACUUGACUUGGUGAGAGAACAGCGCUUGUGCAAUGCCUGCUAAACUAAAAUGCCUACAACUCAAUCGAAACCCAAUAAUCAUGUACGUAAUUACGUUUUCUGGGGAGGGUUUUUCCCCCGUUUGGUUUAAAUGAAACCAUAAAUGCAUGCAUUUUUUUAAAUGUUUUUUUUGACUGGAAUAUACUUUCUAAUCUCUGUGCAAGCCAUGUUUUCUAAUAAAGACAUUUUACUCCAGUGCUUUUGAAUAAAACAUCUUUGUACAAUUUGCACAGUGAAGUGGGUCUUUGUGAUCAUUUUAGCAAGCUUUGCACAGUCAAAAUGGCUUUUAAUGACCACUCUUUCGCAUCUACACUGCACAAAUUUCACUAUAUUGCACUGUUGAGCACAUUAGUGUCUUCAUUUUUGCACCUUAGACUCGAACACAUUCUCACUGCUCCUCAUUAUCGUCUAGAUUCAAACUUUUCUGUAGGCACACACACACACACACACACACACACACACA
Molecule: long non-coding RNA, 9992 nt
Organism: Ictalurus punctatus (channel catfish)
Lineage: Eukaryota; Metazoa; Chordata; Actinopteri; Siluriformes; Ictaluridae
Source: Ensembl